Molecule: unclassified non-coding RNA, 374 nt
Filed under: Hevea brasiliensis (rubber tree)
Lineage: Eukaryota; Viridiplantae; Streptophyta; Magnoliopsida; Malpighiales; Euphorbiaceae
Source: RNAcentral
AAAACACUAAUACAAUCUAGACAAUACUUGCAAUGCAACAUACCUUAAUUCAAUUUUCAUCUGGGCAAGCUUCAAGAAAUUCUCUUAUUUUGCUUCUUUCUUCGGCUGUGAGUUCUGGUUCAUCUCCGGUUAACCUUCCCCGAAGAAUUGCUCUAUCACUACCCGGAUCCUCAUCUUCAACAACUUCAAUGAAAUUGUUGACGUGGCCAUCUUUGUUGGGUGGAGUGACGGGCUCGUUUUCGUUGCACGUCCAUAUACCAUCGAUAAUGUAUUUGUAUUCAUAUCGUCCUUCCGGCAGUUCCCUAUUGAGAAUCCAUGCACCUCGUGCCUCGUCGAAUUUUAAUGGAAUCCUCUGGCCCCAUCCAAUAUCAAGU